AUUGAACGCUGGCGGCGUGCCUUACACAUGCAAGUCGAACGGCAGCACGGGAGCAAUCCUGGUGGCGAGUGGCGAACGGGUGAGUAAAGUAUCGGAACGUGCCCAGUCGUGGGGGAUAACGUAGCGAAAGUUACGCUAAUACCGCAUACGAUCUAUGGAUGAAAGCGGGGGAUCGCAAGACCUCGCGCGAUUGCAGCGGCCGAUAUCAGAGUAGGUAGUUGGUGGGGUAAAGGCUCGCCAAGCCGACGAUCUGUAGCUGGUCUGAGAGGACGACCAGCCACACUGGGACUGAGACACGGCCCAGACUCCUACGGGAGGCAGCAGUGGGGAAUUUUGGACAAUGGGCGAAAGCCUGAUCCAGCCAUGCCGCGUGCAGGAUGAAGGCCUUCGGGUUGUAAACUGCUUUUGUACGGAACGAAAAGGUUUGGCCUAAUAAGCUGAGUUCAUGACGGUACCGUAAGAAUAAGCACCGGCUAACUACGUGCCAGCAGCCGCAGUAA
RNAcentral lists this ribosomal RNA (500 nucleotides) under uncultured bacterium. RNAcentral's name for it is "partial 16S ribosomal RNA". It matches the Rfam family "Bacterial small subunit ribosomal RNA", at positions 30 to 523 of the family's 1533-position model. The record is from RNAcentral.